This 253-nucleotide ribosomal RNA is filed under the name uncultured bacterium. Its description in RNAcentral is "partial 16S ribosomal RNA". It matches the Rfam family "Bacterial small subunit ribosomal RNA", at positions 524 to 776 of the family's 1533-position model. The record is from RNAcentral.
UACGAGGGGAGCAAGCGUUGUUCGGAUUUACUGGGCGUAAAGGGCGCGUAGGCGGCGUGACAAGUCACUUGUGAAAUCUCCGGGCUUAACUCGGAACGGUCAAGUGAUACUGUCGGACUAGAGUACAGAAGGGGCAACUGGAAUUCUCGGUGUAGCGGUGAAAUGCGUAGAUAUCGAGAGGAACACCUGCGGCGAAGGCGGGUUGCUGGGCUGAUACUGACGCUGAGGCGCGAAAGCCAGGGGAGCGAACGGG